Molecule: long non-coding RNA, 572 nt
Filed under: Anser cygnoides (Swan goose)
Lineage: Eukaryota; Metazoa; Chordata; Aves; Anseriformes; Anatidae
Description: lncRNA (ENSACDG00005003581.1)
Source: RNAcentral
AAUGGAAUAAUUCAAUUAAACUUUGAACAACUGAAAUCAAAGCCAAAGAGAACAUGACCCUUAUAUCAUCUCUGUCAGAGAAAAAGAAACUGCUGAAAUAAGAUCACUUGCACAAGAACUAGGCAAAAGUUACCACAGUUCCUUAAUCGGAAGAAUUAACUACUGGAAUUAGAAUACUGGAAGAAGAACUGGAAUUAGUCACCUUCAACAAAUCAAGUCAAUUUGGCAAUACAGGAGACAACCAGCGGCAAAGGAAAAUGUUUGGGAAAAACCAGUCUCAUUUAGAUUUAGAAGCCCUCAAGCUGGGGAAUGUUAGAAAAGAAUUUGGGGAGAAUGCAGCUACUUCCAUUACCACUUUUGAAAUCUCCUCAAUGAUGCCUUCAUUCAGCAGUUGAGGAAGAGUUUCACUUUGACUGAGAAGACGUUUCCAUGUUCUUAAGGUAAAAAAGUUGUUACUGCUGUACUGGUUUGGAGUAUCCCCAGAGCCUUCCAGAAUGCUCCUUGAAAGAUGUUCUGCUCUUUACUGGGGUUCAGCAAAUAAAGUUCAGGACUGAGGGCUUUUUUCUUUUUUU